RNAcentral lists this long non-coding RNA (243 nucleotides) under Mytilus galloprovincialis (Mediterranean mussel). The record is from RNAcentral. Lineage: Eukaryota; Metazoa; Mollusca; Bivalvia; Mytilida; Mytilidae.
GUUUGUUUAUGUAAUUUAUACAUGUUUCUCGUUUCUCGUUUUUUUAUAUAGAUUAGACCGUUGGUUUUCCCGUUUGAAUGGUUUUACACUAGUAAUUUUGGGGCCCUUUAUAGCUUGUUGUUUGGUGUGAGCCAAGGCUCCGUGUUGAAGGCCGUACAUUGACCUAUAAUGGUUUACUUUUUUUUAAUUGUUAUUUGGAUGGAGAGUUGUUUCAUUGGCACUCACACCACAUCUUCCUAUAUC